CGGGCGUCUUAACAUGCAAGUCGAACGAGAGCGACCGGUGCUUGCACUGGUCAAUCUAGUGGCGAACGGGUGAGUAACACGUGGGUAACCUACCCAUCAGAGGGGGAUAACAUCCGGAAACGGAUGCUAAAACCGCAUAGGUCUUCGAGCCGCAUGGCUUGAAGAGGAAAAGAGGCGCAAGCUUCUGCUGAUGGAUGGACCCGCGGUGCAUUAGCUAGUUGGUGAGGUAACGGCUCACCAAGGCCGUGAUGCAUAGCCGACCUGAGAGGGUGAUCGGCCACAUUGGGACUGAGACACGGCCCAAACUCCUACGGGAGGCAGCAGUAGGGAAUCUUCCGCAAUGGACGCAAGUCUGACGGAGCAACGCCGCGUGAGUGAAGAAGGUUUUCGGAUCGUAAAACUCUGUUGUUAGAGAAGAACAAGUGC
This 426-nucleotide ribosomal RNA is filed under the name Granulicatella adiacens. Its description in RNAcentral is "bacterial SSU rRNA". It matches the Rfam family "Bacterial small subunit ribosomal RNA", at positions 43 to 456 of the family's 1533-position model. The record is from RNAcentral. Lineage: Bacteria; Bacillati; Bacillota; Bacilli; Lactobacillales; Carnobacteriaceae.